ACCUUCGUGGUGUAGUGGUCAGCACGCUCGGCGCGUAUUCGAGAGGUCCGUGGUUCGAGUCCCGGCAAGGGCA
Molecule: transfer RNA, 73 nt
Filed under: Stegodyphus mimosarum
Lineage: Eukaryota; Metazoa; Arthropoda; Arachnida; Araneae; Eresidae
Rfam family: tRNA
About the family: Transfer RNA (tRNA) molecules are approximately 80 nucleotides in length. Their secondary structure includes four short double-helical elements and three loops (D, anti-codon, and T loops).
Source: Rfam by way of RNAcentral